UUGGGCGUAAGCGCGCGCAGGCGGUUUCUUAAGUCUGAUGUGAAAGCCCACGGCUCAACCGUGGAGGGUCAUUGGAAACUGGGGAACUUGAGUGCAGAAGAGAAAAGCGGAAUUCCACGUGUAGCGGUGAAAUGCGUAGAGAUGUGGAGGAACACCAGUGGCGAAGGCGGCUUUUUGGUCUGUAACUGACGCUGAGGCGCGAAAGCGUGGGGAGCAAACAGGAUUAGAUACCCUGGUAGUCCACGCCGUAAACGAUGAGUGCUAAGUGUUAGAGGGUUUCCGCCCUUUAGUGCUGCAGCUAACGCAUUAAGCACUCCGCCUGGGGAGUACGGUCGCAAGACUGAAACUCAAAGGAAUUG
RNAcentral lists this ribosomal RNA (359 nucleotides) under Bacillus sp. (in: firmicutes). Its description in RNAcentral is "bacterial SSU rRNA". It matches the Rfam family "Bacterial small subunit ribosomal RNA", at positions 554 to 912 of the family's 1533-position model. The record is from RNAcentral. Lineage: Bacteria; Bacillati; Bacillota; Bacilli; Caryophanales; Bacillaceae.